UAACAGUAGAAAUUAAGAGAGACAAGCCCCAGGACCUUGAUUUCACCAGAUGUGAUUCUGUUCCCAGAGCUGUCAAUCUCAUGACCCCAGAGCUCCGCCUUUGGGCUGAGGGUCCAAAGCUCCUGCGGUGGUGAGCAUAGGUCGCUGUGGUGGUGAGCAUAGGUCGAGGCUCCAGCCCUUGCUUCAUAACCCAGGGCCAAUGAGAGAACUUGAGAAUAUUUGUAAAGGAAGCUAAGCAUUCCUGAAGUGGUAAAAAAACACAAGAAUUCUGUCAUUACUUUUUAGUAACACGUCCUCACAAAUGUCCACGUGCCCUCAUGACUCCCUAAUGGGCAGUAGGGAAAACAAACUUAUUUUCCAGGUCUGCUUAACUUUCUAAACAAAAAUAAACAUGCUGAAAAGGAUGUUCUGCCUCUUAAGGUGAUAUCACAGGCCGCUUCUCUGUGUUAAAUAAUCUAGAAGUUAGGGGGCUGGGUCAUAUUUACCAUGUAUAGUGUUACGAGCAGUUAAAUUUUAUGGCUAUAUUUGUAAAAUCUGUUCUUUUAUAUUUCAUGUCAAAUCAAGAAAUUUAUUUCUUCACUGUUGUACCUGUGGAAAUACAAGCCAUUUUACAGGGGAAAAAAAAUCUCCAAAAGCUAUUAAACGAAUCUCACCAUGUUUGUAAGCUGUCUUCAGACUUUUGUUAUCACUGGCUUCACGGGGACAUUCGGCAGGACGUGGAGGCAGACGUAGACUUUAAUUGUACAUUUCUGGAGCUUCCCACCUGAGUCCCAGACAGGAUUGUUGUUUCCUUAUACUCUACGCACUGCAUUCUUACGUCCGUGGUCUGAAAUCUCCCAAAUUUUUUAUUAAAGAAACUUGGAUUUAUUAAGGAAACUCC
RNAcentral lists this long non-coding RNA (880 nucleotides) under Rattus norvegicus (Norway rat). RNAcentral describes it as "long non-coding RNA NONRATT010346". Lineage: Eukaryota; Metazoa; Chordata; Mammalia; Rodentia; Muridae. The record is from RNAcentral.